This is a long non-coding RNA of Fundulus heteroclitus (mummichog), 357 nucleotides long. RefSeq lists it as uncharacterized. NCBI's taxonomy places the organism in Eukaryota, Metazoa, Chordata, Actinopteri, Cyprinodontiformes, Fundulidae. The transcript has 2 exons. The record is from RefSeq and is a predicted model, not a curated record.
AUUAUCUUGUAAAAACGUGAAAAUUAUCUUGUAAAAACGUGAUACCUUAUCCAGAUGGUGGCGCUAGUAUGCUUUUAGUCUGUAUUGACCGCAAGACUCAUUUAAAGAGAAGAAAAGAAGAAGUUUUGCCUUGCAAGUACAUUGUAGAGAAAGGAUGGCUGAAAAGUUGGACAACGCUUUGCUGCGAUUCCUACGAAACCGUGGCGUACCAGAAGAGUGUCUGUCACGCAUGCAAGAAGACCGUAUUGACGCAACAGUUAUUGACUGCAUGGAUGAUGGCACUCUAUCUGGUUACAUCCCAACAUAUGGGGAUCGCAUAGCAGCAAGACGCUUCAGUUUGGAAAGUAAAGGUACAAA